CCUACGGGCGGCAGCAGUGGGGAAUAUUGCGCAAUGGCCGAAAGCCUGACGCAGCGACGCCGCGUGAGGGAUGAAGGUCUUCGGAUCGUAAACCUCUGUCAGCAGGGAGGAACGGUCACUGUGCUAAUCAGCAGUGAAUUGACGGUACCUGCAACGGCAGCACCGGCUAACUCCGUGCCCGCAGCCGCGGUAAUACGGCGGGUGCGAGCGUUAAUCGGAAUUACUGGGCGUAAAGCGCUCGUAGGCGGUAUGUCAAGUCAAGGGUGAAAUCCCCGGGCUCAACGUGGGAACUGCCUUUGAAACGGGCAAACUGGAGUGUGUGAGAGGAUAGUGGAAUUCGAGGUGUAGGAGUGAAAUCCGUAGAUAUCUGGAGGAACAUCAGUGGCGAAGGCGACUAUCUGGCACAUAACUGACGCUGAGGAGCGAAAGCGUGGGUAGCAAACAGGAUUAGAUACCCCUGUAGUC
This 465-nucleotide ribosomal RNA is filed under the name uncultured bacterium. RNAcentral's name for it is "partial 16S ribosomal RNA". It matches the Rfam family "Bacterial small subunit ribosomal RNA", at positions 338 to 795 of the family's 1533-position model. The record is from RNAcentral.